This 270-nucleotide unclassified non-coding RNA is filed under the name Saccharomycetales sp. Its description in RNAcentral is "partial contains small subunit ribosomal RNA, internal transcribed spacer 1, and 5.8S ribosomal RNA". The stretch from base 1 to 46 matches the Rfam family "Eukaryotic small subunit ribosomal RNA", at positions 1786 to 1831 of the family's 1831-position model. The record is from RNAcentral. Lineage: Eukaryota; Fungi; Ascomycota; Saccharomycetes; Saccharomycetales.
AAGUCGUAACAAGGUCUCCGUAGGUGAACCUGCGGAGGGAUCAUUCACAUGAUUAUCUUUACAAACAAAACCUGUGAACUUUAAAAACUAUUCGUAUUUAAUUGCAUUAUGCAAUUAUAAUACUGUCAUUCGAUUGAACAUAAGAUAGUUGGCUUGUUUUAUUUUUUAAAUAUAACUUUCUCAGCUUUGAUUUGUUAUUUGAUUAAACCUUUUAUAACAAUCAUCCAUAAAACAUAGAAACAACUCUAUGCCCUGGAUAUCUUGGUUCUC